GUGCCAGCAGCCGCGGUAAUACGUAGGGUGCAAGCGUUAAUCGGAAUUACUGGGCGUAAAGCGUGCGCAGGCGGUUCGGCAAGAAGGAUGUGAAAUCCCAGGGCUUAACCUUGGAACUGCAUUCUUAACUGCCGGGCUAGAGUAUGUCAGAGGGGGGUAGAAUUCCGCGUGUAGCAGUGAAAUGCGUAGAGAUGCGGAGGAAUACCGAUGGCGAAGGCAGCCCCCUGGGAUAAUACUGACGCUCAUGCACGAAAGCGUGGGGAGCAAACAGGAUUAGAAACCCUUGUAGUCC
This 292-nucleotide ribosomal RNA is filed under the name uncultured Pusillimonas sp. RNAcentral's name for it is "partial 16S ribosomal RNA". It matches the Rfam family "Bacterial small subunit ribosomal RNA", at positions 505 to 796 of the family's 1533-position model. The record is from RNAcentral. Lineage: Bacteria; Pseudomonadati; Pseudomonadota; Betaproteobacteria; Burkholderiales; Alcaligenaceae.